RNAcentral lists this ribosomal RNA (366 nucleotides) under uncultured fungus. Its description in RNAcentral is "eukaryotic LSU rRNA". It matches the Rfam family "Eukaryotic large subunit ribosomal RNA", at positions 40 to 398 of the family's 3401-position model. Lineage: Eukaryota; Fungi. The record is from RNAcentral.
AUAUCAAUAAGCGGAGGAAAAGAAACCAACAGGGAUUGCCUCAGUAACGGCGAGUGAAGCGGCAACAGCUCAAAUUUGAAAUCUGGCUCCUUUCAGGGUCCGAGUUGUAAUUUGUAGAAGAUGCUUCGGUGUCGGCUCCGGUCUAAGUUCCUUGGAACAGGACGUCAUAGAGGGUGAGAAUCCCGUAUGUGAUCUGGCAGCCUUCGCCAUGUGAAGCUCUUUCGACGAGUCGAGUUGUUUGGGAAUGCAGCUCUAAAAUGGGUGGUAAAUUUCAUUCUAAAGCUAAAUAUUGGCCAGAGACCGAUAGCGCACAAGUAGAGUGAUCGAAAGAUGAAAAGCACUUUGGAAAGAGAGUCAAAACAGUAC